This 347-nucleotide ribosomal RNA is filed under the name Staphylococcus hominis. Its description in RNAcentral is "bacterial SSU rRNA". It matches the Rfam family "Bacterial small subunit ribosomal RNA", at positions 1 to 337 of the family's 1533-position model. Lineage: Bacteria; Bacillati; Bacillota; Bacilli; Caryophanales; Staphylococcaceae. The record is from RNAcentral.
UUUAUGGAGAGUUUGAUCCUGGCUCAGGAUGAACGCUGGCGGCGUGCCUAAUACAUGCAAGUCGAGCGAACAGACGAGGAGCUUGCUCCUUUGACGUUAGCGGCGGACGGGUGAGUAACACGUGGGUAACCUACCUAUAAGACUGGGAUAACUUCGGGAAACCGGAGCUAAUACCGGAUAAUAUUUCGAACCGCAUGGUUCGAUAGUGAAAGAUGGCUUUGCUAUCACUUAUAGAUGGACCUGCGCCGUAUUAGCUAGUUGGUAAGGUAACGGCUUACCAAGGCAACGAUACGUAGCCGACCUGAGAGGGUGAUCGGCCACACUGGAACUGAGACACGGUCCACGGU